Lontra canadensis (Northern American river otter) is the source of this 307-nucleotide long non-coding RNA. RefSeq lists it as uncharacterized. The record is from RefSeq and is a predicted model, not a curated record. The transcript is spliced from 4 exons. NCBI's taxonomy places the organism in Eukaryota, Metazoa, Chordata, Mammalia, Carnivora, Mustelidae.
GACAUUUCCUCGUUACGUUGCCUUCCUCCCGGUUUCGAAGUUUUGGUCAAAGCAGAAACCAGCCUGGAGAAUAGCACCCAGAUGACAGAUUAUCAAGCUUUGGUGGAAAAUGACAAUGGUCAAGAAACUUCAGCAUAUUACUUCAUUCCUUCCAAUGUGGAAUCUGGCAAAGAAAUGAAUUCUGAGACAACGAAUUCCCCAAUUUUAAUGGAAAAUGACAACGAACAAGAUACUGGCUCAGAAUCUUUCUUUCUUGCUCCUGGUUUUGCGCUUUUACCUGUAGAAAUACUGUUAAAAGCAGAAAGCA